AGUGGCGAACGGGUGAGUAAUGCAUCGGAACGUGCCCAGUCGUGGGGGAUAACGCAGCGAAAGCUGCGCUAAUACCGCAUACGAUCUAUGGAUGAAAGCGGGGGACCUGCAAGGGCCUCGCGCGAUUGGAGCGGCCGAUGUCAGAUUAGGUAGUUGGUGGGGUAAAGGCUCACCAAACCGACGAUCUGUAGCUGGUCUGAGAGGACGACCAGCCACACUGGGACUGAGACACGGCCCAGACUCCUACGGGAGGCAGCAGUGGGGAAUUUUGGACAAUGGGCGCAAGCCUGAUCCAGCAAUGCCGCGUGCAGGAAGAAGGCCUUCGGGUUGUAAACUGCUUUUGUACGGAACGAAACGGCUCUGGUUAAUACCUGGGGCUAAUGACGGUACCGUAAGAAUAAGCACCGGCUAACUACGUGCCAGCAGCCGCGGUAAUACGUAGGGUGCGAGCGUUAAUCGGAAUUACUGGGCGUAAAGCGUGCGCAGGCGGUUUUGUAAGACAGACGUGAAAUCCCCGGGCUCAACCUGGGAAUGGCGUUUGUGACUGCAAAGCUGGAGUGCGGCAGAGGGGGAUGGAAUUCCGCGUGUAGCAGUGAAAUGCGUAGAUAUGCGGAGGAACACCGAUGGCGAAGGCAAUCCCCUGGGCCUGCACUGACGCUCAUGCACGAAAGCGUGGGGAGCAAACAGGAUUAGAUACCCU
This 700-nucleotide ribosomal RNA is filed under the name uncultured beta proteobacterium. Its description in RNAcentral is "bacterial SSU rRNA". It matches the Rfam family "Bacterial small subunit ribosomal RNA", at positions 94 to 788 of the family's 1533-position model. Lineage: Bacteria; Pseudomonadati; Pseudomonadota; Betaproteobacteria. The record is from RNAcentral.